RNAcentral lists this small nuclear RNA (149 nucleotides) under Cyclopterus lumpus (lumpfish). RNAcentral describes it as "U1 spliceosomal RNA (ENSCLMG00005015747.1)". It matches the Rfam family "U1 spliceosomal RNA", at positions 32 to 166 of the family's 166-position model. Rfam says of the family: U1 is a small nuclear RNA (snRNA) component of the spliceosome (involved in pre-mRNA splicing). Its 5' end forms complementary base pairs with the 5' splice junction, thus defining the 5' donor site of an intron. Lineage: Eukaryota; Metazoa; Chordata; Actinopteri; Perciformes; Cyclopteridae. The record is from RNAcentral.
AAAUGUCACAUGUACUGGACUAAAUAAACGUCUAAAAGUGAAAUUGGUUCACCCAGGGCGAGGCUUGGCCAUUGCAUUGCGGCUGAGCUGACCUCUGCGAAGACUGCAUCAUUUGUGGUAGUGGGGGACUGCGUUCGCGCUCUCCCCUG